RNAcentral lists this ribosomal RNA (533 nucleotides) under uncultured bacterium. Its description in RNAcentral is "bacterial SSU rRNA". It matches the Rfam family "Bacterial small subunit ribosomal RNA", at positions 777 to 1308 of the family's 1533-position model. The record is from RNAcentral.
AAUAGAUACCCUGGUAGUCCACGCCGUAAACGAUGAGUGCUAAGUGUUAGGGGGUUUCCGCCCCUUAGUGCUGCAGCUAACGCAUUAAGCACUCCGCCUGGGGAGUACGGUCGCAAGACUGAAACUCAAAGGAAUUGACGGGGGCCCGCACAAGCGGUGGAGCAUGUGGUUUAAUUCGAAGCAACGCGAAGAACCUUACCAGGUCUUGACAUCCCGCUGACCGCUAUGGAGACAUGGCUUUCCCUUCGGGGACAGCGGUGACAGGUGGUGCAUGGUUGUCGUCAGCUCGUGUCGUGAGAUGUUGGGUUAAGUCCCGCAACGAGCGCAACCCUUGUUCUUAGUUGCCAUCAUUCAGUUGGGCACUCUAAGGAGACUGCCGGUGAUAAACCGGAGGAAGGUGGGGAUGACGUCAAAUCAUCAUGCCCCUUAUGACCUGGGCUACACACGUGCUACAAUGGACGGUACAAACGGUUGCGAAGUCGCGAGACGGAGCCAAUCCGAGAAAACCGUUCUCAGUUCGGAUUGUAGGCUGC